AGAUACUUAUGCAGUGCCACAAUCCUCACACUGAUUUCUAUAAUUACAGAUUACAACAGUGGCAAUUUAAAAGGUUAGAGAGCUGUGGUAAUUUGCUAUGUCAUCCUCAGCUAUAUUAAUGUCUCUGCGCACCAAAGAUAAUUGAAAAUGUAAUAAUGGGCCAAAUCAGAUGGCUUGCCCAUGGUCUCGUCACCAAAAACAUCUCCAACCUGAGUAUAUUAGUAAAGUCAAGUCCUUGAUAAUUAGCCUCUUUCAUUAUUAAGUAGUCCCACUACUCAUUUGGUUUACAGUGAAGGGAAGGGAGAAAAUAUGUAGAUAUAUGGGCCAGAAUAUGCAAAAACAGAAACAGAAGCUUUGGGAAAGACGCAACGCGGAGACAACUACAAUCGCCUUGUUCCAGACAGAAAGCAGAGCAAAGGAGAGAUCUUUGGUAUGCAUGCGACAUGGGAACUCCAUGCUCAUCUGCUACAGUUUCUAUGAAAGCUCAUGAACUUGGGG
RNAcentral lists this long non-coding RNA (498 nucleotides) under Capra hircus (goat). RNAcentral describes it as "lncRNA (ENSCHIG00000002726.1)". Lineage: Eukaryota; Metazoa; Chordata; Mammalia; Artiodactyla; Bovidae. The record is from RNAcentral.